Molecule: ribosomal RNA, 387 nt
Filed under: uncultured Thermoplasmatales archaeon
Lineage: Archaea; Methanobacteriati; Thermoplasmatota; Thermoplasmata; Thermoplasmatales
Description: bacterial SSU rRNA
Rfam family: Archaeal small subunit ribosomal RNA
Source: RNAcentral
GCGCGAAAACUUCACAAUGCGCGAAAGCGCGAUGAGGGGAUCCCAAGUGCUUGCACGUAAGUGUAAGCUGUUUUUCUGUCUAAAAAGCAGAGAGAGUAAGGGCUGGGUAAGACGGGUGCCAGCCGCCGCGGUAAUACCUGCAGCUCAAGUGGUGGCCGCUAUUAUUGGGCCUAAAACGUCCGUAGCCGGCUGAGUAAAUGCCUGGGUAAAUCGUGUGGCUUAACCAUACGAAUUCCGGGUAGACUGCUCAGCUUGGGACCGGAAGAAGUUAGAGGUACUCCUGGGGUAGGGGUGAAAUCCUGUAAUCCUGGGGGGACCACCAGUGGCGAAGGCGUCUAACUAGGACGGGUCUGACGGUGAGGGACGAAGCCCUGGGGCGCAAACCGG